AGUGAACGCUGGCGGUAGGCCUAACACAUGCAAGUCGAACGGCAGCACAGUAAGAGCUUGCUCUUACGGGUGGCGAGUGGCGGACGGGUGAGGAAUAUAUCGGAAUCUACUUUUUCGUGGGGGAUAACGUAGGGAAACUUACGCUAAUACCGCAUACGACCUACGGGUGAAAGCAGGGGAUCUUCGGCCCUCGCGCGAUUGAAUGAGCCGAUGUCGGAUUAGCUAGUUGGCGGGGUAAAGGCCCACCAAGGCGACGAUCCGUAGCUGGUCUGAGAGGAUGAUCAGCCACACUGGAACUGAGACACGGUCCAGACUCCUACGGGAGGCAGCAGUGGGGAAUAUUGGACAAUGGGCGCAAGCCUGAUCCAGCCAUACCGCGUGUGUGAAGAAGGCCUUCGGGUUGUAAAGCCCUUUUGUUGGGAAAGAAAAGCAGCAGGUUAAUACCCCGCUGUUCUGACGGUACCCAAAGAAUAAGCACCGGCUAACUUCGUG
Molecule: ribosomal RNA, 492 nt
Filed under: uncultured bacterium
Lineage: Bacteria
Description: partial 16S ribosomal RNA
Rfam family: Bacterial small subunit ribosomal RNA
Source: RNAcentral